Molecule: ribosomal RNA, 783 nt
Filed under: uncultured bacterium
Lineage: Bacteria
Description: bacterial SSU rRNA
Rfam family: Bacterial small subunit ribosomal RNA
Source: RNAcentral
UCGAUUAGAGUUUGAUCCUGGCUCAGGAUGAACGCUGGCGGCGUGCCUAACACAUGCAAGUCGAGCGGGAAUCCCCUUUUCGAAGGCGAGGUAUUCAUACCAAGCCCAAGAUGUGGGGAGGAGAGCGGCGGACGGGUGAGUAACGCGUAGGCAACCUGCCCAUAGCUCGGGGAUAGCCACGGGAAACCGUGAUUAAUACCCGAUGACGCGAAGGGGCCACAUGGCUUCUUCGCCAAAGAUUCAUCGGCUAUGGAUGGGCCUGCGUCUGAUUAGGUUGUUGGCGGGGUAACGGCCCACCAAGCCUACGAUCAGUAGCCGACCUGAGAGGGUAACCGGCCACAUUGGAACUGAGACACGGUCCAAACUCCUACGGGAGGCAGCAGUGGGGAAUAUUGCACAAUGGGCGAAAGCCUGAUGCAGCAACGCCGCGUGAGCGAAGAAGGCCCUAUGGGUCGUAAAGCUCUGAUCUGGUGGAAGAUGAUGACGGUACACCAGGAGAAAGCCCCGGCUAACUACGUGCCAGCAGCCGCGGUAAUACGUAGGGGGCAAGCGUUAUCCGGAAUUAUUGGGCGUAAAGAGUGCGUAGGUGGUUUGCUAAGCGAAGGGUGAAAGGCACUGGCUCAACCAAUGUCAGCCCUUCGAACUGGCUGGCUUGAGUGCAGGAGGGGAAAGCGGAACUCCAGGUGUAGCGGUGAAAUGCGUAGAUAUCUGGAAGAACACCGGUGGCGAAAGCGGCUUUCUGGACUGUAACUGACACUGAGGCACGAAAGCGUGGGGAGCAAA